GCCGGGUGCAGUGGCGUGCGCCUGUAAUCCAAGUUGCUGGGAGGCUUAGGCUGGCGGAUCGUUUGAGCUCAGGAGUUCUGAGCUCCAGUGGACUAUGCCGAUCGGGUGUCCGCACUAAGUUCGGUAUCGAUAUGGUGCUCCUGGGGGAGCCCGGGACCACCAGGUCGUCUAUAGGAGGGGUGCACCGGCCCAGGUCGGAAACGGAGCAGGCCAAAGCCCCCGUGCCGCUCAGUAGUGGGAUCGCGCCUGUGAAUAGACGCUGUAGUGCAGCCUGAGCAAUAUAGCGGGACACAGUCUUUU
Molecule: signal recognition particle RNA, 300 nt
Filed under: Salmo trutta (river trout)
Lineage: Eukaryota; Metazoa; Chordata; Actinopteri; Salmoniformes; Salmonidae
Description: Metazoan signal recognition particle RNA (ENSSTUG00000029155.1)
Rfam family: Metazoan signal recognition particle RNA
About the family: The signal recognition particle (SRP) is a universally conserved ribonucleoprotein. It is involved in the co-translational targeting of proteins to membranes. The eukaryotic SRP consists of a 300-nucleotide 7S RNA and six proteins: SRPs 72, 68, 54, 19, 14, and 9.
Source: Rfam by way of RNAcentral